AGUGCUGUAUUGUUGAGUUUUGUAUGAACUAAUCUAGCUUCUCUAAAAAAAAAAAAAAAAAAAAAAAAAAGAAAGAAAAGAAAGAAAGAAAAGAAAGAAAGAAAGAAAAAAAAAGAAAAGAAAAAAAAGAGAACCACAGCUUUGGACAAAAGUCUAUAGCCAGUGCAUUUGAAAACUCCCCUUGCACCAGGGCUGACUGUAGCUGGGGGAAGACAUUUUACUCAUUUGCUCUUUCCUUUCAUACAGUCAGCUGGUCCCUCUUCUCAGGUGUAGAUCACCUAUUAUAAUUUUACCUAAUUUUGAUACUCUGAUAAGGAAAGUCCCAGGACUUAUCAGCUGGGAUAGGCCUCACUUACAAGACAGCUCUGUUCAGUAUUUGGAAGAAAGCCUGACAGGUUUCUUCGGAAAAGUGGCCAUCCAUGGAAUGAAUGAAAUGUUCUCUUUCUAUUCCAGGGAUUGCAGUGGCAAAGCUAGGCUAGGUCUUGGAGGCUGGUGUAAGGCGAUGUGGGUGAAGGCAGGAGGCUGAUGGAAAGACUGGGGGGAAGAAAAGCCGAAAUGGAUUCACGGUGCCUUGGAUGAAGGACGAGAGGGGAACUGCAAGCUCCUUCAACUGGUUCUGUCCGGUGAGAAGUGAUCAAGCUUGGGCUGACAAGAGGCUCAGGGAGCCCUCACGUUCUUUCGCUUUUUUACCUGCCAAUCAAACUGCUACAAGACAACACCCUGAUCUGGCAUGGACAUCGCGGGUCCAAGCCUGUAGCCCCAAAUCGGAUAAUCUCUGCAGCUGAUAACAAGCAAAAGAGAAGCCAGGCAACAGCCAUAUUAAAGAAGAAAACAAUCAACUCUGAGAUCCAACUUAGAAAUAAUGUUUCAUUCAAGAUAAGGCUCGUGGCUUAGGAGAUUGUGACCUGGCUUGCAUCAUUCUAAGACUUCUAUCGUCUGUUUUCAAAACCCAAGGAGGACCUCCUUUUCUGUGUGAUAGUUCCUCAUGCUUUGCCAGCCACUGGGUCUUUAAGGAAGCUUGCCAAGAGUUCCCGGCUGGGAAGGACAGUUCGAGUUCAUCAUAGACAAUGAGCUGGCACCACAGUUUAAGUGACUCACCAACCUGGUUGCCCACUUCAAAAUGUCAAGAACCACACUAUCUAAUUGAAAGAACUGUGUUUUAGCAAAGUGUAAUUGGAUCGCCUGGCAAGAUCAUCUCAAACUAUGUCUCUGACCUUGCCUUUCAGUGGCUAUUUUGAGCACAAGAGGAGAAAGGAAAUGAUUCCUGAAUUAUAUCUUGUUUUUAAAAAUUAAGAUUAAUUAAUACUUGGUUUUAUGUUCAUUCCAUUGUAGGAACUUAGUGAUUAUUACAAAACAGUCAAAAUAGGUCAUAGCAAAAUGAACGUUUAAGAUUAGGUUAAAACAUUCCUCUGAAAUUUUAGUAUUCACUUUUGAAGUGUCAAUUACUAUAUUUCUGUAAUUUCUCAUUUUUUUCUUGGCUUAGAGUCAAGAUGAAAAAUGAUAUUUGAAUCAAAGACAUUGUUUUGUUAUAUAGCCACUCCUUUCUAAAAUGCAAAUCCACCCUCCCCUCACCAAUGCUUUAUUCUUUGUGCGCGCACACACACACACACACACACACACACACACACACACACACAGACAUACACAGAACCAGCACCCAAAUGGUAGAGGAGGUCCUUCCAAGACUUCUAGGACCUGGAUCAUGUAAGCAGUAGAUGAGAAAAUGAAGUAAGAGAUAUAGAGUAAUAACAAUAAAAGUCAAUGAUUUCAUUUUACAAAAAAGUCAUUGUGUAGUACUCAGAUAUUUUUAAGAGCAAGUAUUAUUAUGACUAAAGUAUAUUAUACUUCUAAAUUAUUAUGAUUCUCAUCUAAUUUCAAGCCACACAUAGGCGCCAUUUGAAAGCAUUUUGUGUUACAACCUAUCAACAAAAAUCAACUAAUAGUUUUAUAACGUGCAUAGGUUUACCCCAUGGGGAAUUAAAAUUUUUAUCUGCAAGUAUUUCUGUUGUUGUGAGACUUUAGGACAAGACAACAUUUGGUGUUAACAUAGAAGAAUAUUCUAUGGCUUUUUUAGCUUUAAAGUUCAUUACUCUAAAAUAAAGUACACGUGGUAUUUUUUUCUUCCUAGUGUUCUCUUAUUAUAUGUAGAGUAUUUUCGGUUGUUGUUUUUAACGUAUACAUUAUUUUUAUUAAGUCAUUUCAUAAAAGAUAAGAUAUAUACUAAUAGACCCUUGGUUUUCUCCUAAUUUAAUUAUUUCAAGUCAAGCAAAAUUGGGCAAUUUUCUUUCAGGAAAAAAAAAAUAUUGAGCAUGAUUUUGAGGUAAAACUGAUUAUUUACAGCAUCUUUUCUCUAAUAGGCUAACAUUUAUGAUGGAUCUUAUUUCAAAGUUGAUUAUUCUCAAAGAAAAGUGGAGAUAUUAGAAUUUCCGAGUAAAUUGCAUUGUUUUAAAAAGUACUUUAAUGCAUUGUUCACAUUGUUGCCAGCUAUUGACCAAAAAAGAGAAGAAGAAAAAAGAAAUAAAAAAAGCAGUAUCUGCUCCAAACGUCAAGUUUUGCAGUUUGAAAGACUUGUACAUUAUAAUUGUUUUUUUCUUUUUUGGAAAGCAGUAGUAAUUAAUACCAAAGGCAUAGACAAUUUAGGGCCAUAACCUCCCUUCCCCCCUCUCCACCUUUUUUUUUUUUUUUUUUUUUUUUUAACUUUAACCAUGAUAGGCAUCUCUGCAAGGUAGGUUUUAACAUAUUUUUUUCCUAAUUUUUUUCCCUCCAUUCAGUAAGAAGGAUAAGCUUUUAGAGUACCCAGUCACCGUGGUAACUGCCAAAAAAAUUCUCCUGAAGUUUGAAGAGGUCAGCUAGCAGGGUCAACAACCCUGGCCUCUCUCUGAGCUCGGUCUAGCAUGCCCCAGCCUGCGGUUGGAGUGUCAGGCCAGAUCUGACCCUGGGAGGUGGACCAUUCUGGCUCUGAUAUAAAUUUUUCGAGUCAGUUCAUGGCCUGGACUCUCCAGGUGGCCUCCAAAAUCGAUUUUGACCCCCUGACCCUGUCUCACGGAGGCAUAGCAUCCACCCUAAGUAAGGAUUUAGCCAGGAAUGACAGCUUUCCACUGAGUGUUAUUGGGGACAGUAUAAACAGUUUGGAAAGCAAGUAAGGAGGUGUGAGGGCUAGCAAUCAUUAAAAGCACAUUAAAAAACAAUUUUUAAAAAUCUUUAUUAGAGAAAGUUGUAAAUGCAUAUCUGUUACAGAAUUCCUGUGAUUUGUAGAGUUUUCUAGUCAGUUUUGAAUAUAAAUAGGUCACAUAUCUUUAUCUUUUUGCAUACUUUGUUACAAAUAUGCAAAUAAGAUAGGCAUACUUGCUACAAAAUAGGUACAGCAGGAAUGUAAUAUGUUCAGAAAAGGCAAACUGGUUAUUAAAACACAUUAACAGGUAAGGAGUUUCUAAUAUUUUAAAUACUAAAAUUUUACAUGUGUAUUUUGAAGUUUUUAAAAUGGAAAAAUAAAGAACCUUUAAAAAACCCAACAGUGUGGAAUAAAGAUAAACUUGUUGCACUCAAGGUACAUUUCUACUUUGUAAAGCAAGAAGCCAAUACACUCAGUUGGAUAAAAAUGAGAGAAAAAUUGUAAAUAUAGAGAGUUACAGCUUAUAGAGCUGAAGAGGAAUAAAACAAAAAAAAGUGUCUCUGAAUAACUUUAUGUAUUUUCAACAGUUUAAGAUAUCAGAAACUUGGAAAAUAAAUAUGAUAUAUAUAUAAAUCAUCAGUGAUUAUUUCCUUUUCAUUCCCCCCCGCCCCCAGGAUGCCACCGUGAGUGUUUGAUUUUCUCUAGGAAAGUAGAAUUCUCUUUGAGAGUUCUAGCCUGUGAACUCAGUAUGUAAAUGUGGCCAUCAAGAAGACAGAACUGCCAAGAGGAAAGAUUAUGAAUGUUUUUCUUCCUUAAAACCAUUCACAGUGUUUCUUCUUCCAGUGCUUUACUCAGACUUCUCCCCUUUUCCCAGCUCUGUUGAAAAUGGCUUCAAAAGCAACACUGCAGUGGCUAAACCAAUUGUACUGUGAAGUUGUUGAGAUGCCAUUUCAUCUGAAUCCUUCGUAAAAAUUAGAUUUUUAAGUAGGGGUGAAUAUCCUUUUGGGAGAGGGAAUGGGAGGGUAGAAGAAGGGGGGAAAGGACAGAGCA
This 4162-nucleotide long non-coding RNA is filed under the name Homo sapiens (human). RNAcentral's name for it is "SOX2 overlapping transcript". The stretch from base 463 to 738 matches the Rfam family "SOX2 overlapping transcript exon 3". The record is from RNAcentral. Lineage: Eukaryota; Metazoa; Chordata; Mammalia; Primates; Hominidae.